RNAcentral lists this ribosomal RNA (253 nucleotides) under uncultured bacterium. RNAcentral describes it as "partial 16S ribosomal RNA". It matches the Rfam family "Bacterial small subunit ribosomal RNA", at positions 524 to 776 of the family's 1533-position model. The record is from RNAcentral.
UACGGAGGGUGCAAGCGUUGUUCGGAAUUAUUGGGCGUAAAGAGCGUGUAGGCGGCCGAGUAAGUCAGAUGUGAAAGCCCUUGGCUUAACCAAGGAAGGGCAUUUGAAACUGCUUGGCUUGAGUACGGGAGGGGGAAGCGGAAUUCCCGGUGUAGAGGUGAAAUUCGUAGAUAUCGGGAGGAACACCGGUGGCGAAGGCGGCUUCCUGGACCGAUACUGACGCUGAGACGCGAAAGCGUGGGGAGCAAACAGG